This is a long non-coding RNA of Raphanus sativus (radish), 847 nucleotides long. RefSeq lists it as uncharacterized. The record is from RefSeq and is a predicted model, not a curated record. Lineage: Eukaryota; Viridiplantae; Streptophyta; Magnoliopsida; Brassicales; Brassicaceae. The transcript is spliced from 2 exons.
GGCUUUGUUAUCAUCUUUGUAAACAAUUCCUCCUCGAAUGGAAACUAGUUAUCUAUAAAAUCUUGUUUGACCAAAAUAAAAAAAAAUAAAACUUCUGUUUGGGUUGGGUUCGAGUUUUGUAAAAGUAAAACUAGGAAAUAAAAAGCUCUCGCAUGUGGAAUGUUGGGAGUGAGAGACCAUAUGACUGAUUGAUUAGAUGUUAUGCUUGCCAUAUCUGUGGUUUGGUUCCUCUGCGUUUUUGGAGUAUAUCAUUAUUACCUGUGAGUAGGUUUCUUUUUCUUUUCCUCUCUUUCUUAGUGUAGCCAGCAAAUUCUGCACUGUCUGACAGAGUCUUUUGUUUAUCCUCUGAAAAAAUCAUUCGCAUCUCUCCCUCUUCAGGCUGCCUUUUGGUUUGAUCGUUGUAUCCUUUGUUUAAGGUUGGUGAAAGCUAUGUUAUGUAGUAGACAUGGGAUCAUAGGGUAUCAGUUUCAACAGGUUAGAAUGUUUUAAGGUUGCAGGAGAUGCGUGUGAAAAUGGGCCAACUUCUGAAAUAUGUCUUCUACACUUGUGGAGCAAACUGGCUUUUUCUACAGCAUUUCCUGCAGGAAACUCUGUUGGAUUAGACUUAGAAAAACAGAGUCAAGCUUAGUGCCAAGGAUGUACUUAAUCCCCAUGACUAUGUGUUUAUCAGAUAAACCGGAUACCACAACCACAUGACUAUGUGUUUGGAGCAUGAGAAGGUCAUUUAUGAGGGACUGUAGCCAAUUAUGGUACCGGUAUGUGUUGUUUUCUUUGGUAUUAUGCAUGCUGCAAAAGUAGAGGCACACAAAGUUGGAUGGUACAUCAAGAACAAUACCCACCAUUGGAA